UAAGCAUAUUUAUGUGAACCAUCUGUUCCAGUCAAACGGUCCUGACCAGUUUGGCAUCAACAACAAGAACCUGUUCCAGGAGGACAGCCAGCCUGCCAACUCUGACGUGCCCCCCGCCCUGCCGCCUAAAACGGGUACUCCAACUAGACCGCCUCCCCCACCUCCAGGUAAGAGAGCGUCCGUCUCUAGGACAGAGUCCUCCGACUCCUUCAAGCGGCGAGGACACUUCCUUCAGACCUCUGGAGACUUCUCCUCCUCUUCCUCCUCCUCCCUGCCUGCCAAGGACCCUUUAGCCGACCCCUUCGCCCCCUCCUCCCCUCCUCGCCACAACGUGCGGGAAGCUGAUCGAUUUGCCAGCUUUGACAAAGUGAGCACCUCCCUCUCCCCAUCUCCCUCACCUCCUCCUGAAUGUCAAUAGCCACACCCUCUUCUCUUUAUUUUUCUGCUCAUUAAUCACAUCUGGUUCUCCAAGAAUGUGCAACUAAGCCUUCAUGAAUCGGUCCAUUCACUGCCAACAGAUCCCCAGAGAAGACAAAUAAAGAUUUUAUGUGUCGAUGCACAAGGUUGCCUGUUUCCUUAAUUAUAGAUAUAUAUUUAUGUCUGCCAACAUUUAUUGAAGCUAGCUGAUGAAAUCUUGUGUGUUUUGAAUCCUCACUGCUGCUGUUUUUAUAUUUUAGCUUCCUAAUAACAGUGCUGUUGCUUUGCAUUGUUAAAAAUAUUUCUCAUUUAUUUCUGGGAUUCCACUUCGUUUAACUCUUCUGGUUGCCCUCCUUAUUUUGUUAUAAAGAUUAUAAAUAGUUUAAUAUAUUUAACCUGCAGUUAGAUUGCAUUUAUCUGUAGGCACAAAACACAAGUCGUGGUGCCAGUCGUUAUUGACAUAUUGACUCGUGUUUGGCAGUGAAUGGAAAGAUGGAAACCUGCUUGAAUGUGACUUUUGUUUGCCAUCCCAACUCAGCACAUUGACUUCACACCCUGUUCAUGUGCGAGCAAGUCAAAGUUAUUUACAAGAUAAAAAAACACAUGUUGCGUUUAAACUGCCUUUUUCAAGAUUUUAUUCCACUUUUAUCCUUGGAAUUGACUGAAUUUUAAUAGCUACAGCAUUCAUCCAGCAGGUUACUCUGUUUUAUGCCGCAUCAGGUCGACAGUGAUGAAAAAGUUUCAGUAGUCGGUGACCUACAGGCCUAAAGUUCAGCACGAGGGAAAAACUCCUUCAGCCUGUGAGCUUUGAUUCAACUAACUAUCAAAACCAGAGUACAAACAUUGAGCUUCACAUGGAGCUGCUCAGGCUGCAAGGCCUGCAUUUUUCAACUGAAUCGCUUUUAAAACGUUAUGAAUUUAAACGUAAAACGACUUCAUUUGGAUCAACCAAGAGGUUGAGCUUUCGCUGAAACUAAAUACUUUUCUAACGGUGCCAUUUUACUAACUACAGCUCUGCUCCUGUAACACAGCAAAAAAAAAAAAAAAAUGGGUGGUCAAGCUGUGAUUUUUGGGAUGGAUGGCUGCAUUUCAUUCUUGAUUUUUCGAUGCCUCUGUUAUCACGUUACCCCACCUGCAUGCCUCUGUCGAACCCUAAGCUACACAAACUAACCUCCUCCGACUGGCUGCCUCAAUCGUCCCCCAAAUCAUUUGUUUUCCUCUUCACCCACGCUGCUGUUCAUUAACUCAUGCGUCUCCUCCUGUCCAUCCAACCGUCAUCCAUUCAUCAACUUAUUUCACUCUCAGCUCUCAUCUGAUCAGCAUUGUGUGGUUGCUUGUAUUCUUUGUGUGUUUAUGUGUUUGUUAUAAAGAAAUGUUUAAUAAAGUGUUGAAUCAUA
This is a long non-coding RNA of Poecilia latipinna (sailfin molly), 1814 nucleotides long. RefSeq lists it as uncharacterized. The record is from RefSeq and is a predicted model, not a curated record. NCBI's taxonomy places the organism in Eukaryota, Metazoa, Chordata, Actinopteri, Cyprinodontiformes, Poeciliidae. The transcript has 2 exons.